Pelobates cultripes (western spadefoot toad) is the source of this 338-nucleotide non-coding RNA. The record is from the annotation of a GenBank genome assembly. NCBI's taxonomy places the organism in Eukaryota, Metazoa, Chordata, Amphibia, Anura, Pelobatidae.
GCCAAGAAAACAAAGUUGUCGCAACCCCAUAAGCAGCAUUCCUCCUCCUCCAAACACAGCGAGUUGAGUUAAUGCCAAAGAGCUCAAUUUUGGUCUCAUCUGAUCACAACACUUUCACCCAGUUCUCCUCUGAAUCAUUCAGAUGUUGGCAAACAUUAGAAGGGCCUGUACAUAUGCGUUCUUGAGCAGGGGGACCUUCGGGCGCUGCAGGAUUUCAGUUCUUCACGGCGUAGUGUGUUACCAAUUGGUUUCUUGGUGACUAUAGUCCCAGCUGCCUUGAGAUUAUUAACAAGAUCCUCCCAUGUAGUUCUGGGCUGAUUCCUCAUUGUUCUCAUGAU